This 925-nucleotide long non-coding RNA is filed under the name Equus caballus (horse). Its description in RNAcentral is "lncRNA (ENSECAG00000032572.3)". The record is from RNAcentral. Lineage: Eukaryota; Metazoa; Chordata; Mammalia; Perissodactyla; Equidae.
AAAAGACCCAGUCCCAUUUAACGGCAAAUUUGACAGUAACUCAGAUGAAAUUAUUAAUGUUUAGUAACCAUUGGAAAACCAUGAAGCUAGAGGAAGAAAAGAUGUUAAAGUGAGGAACUAAAGGCAGCCUGAGUUGGUGCAAAAGACUGAAAUUCUGAAGCUGAAAGUCGGGCAAGCAUGGUAUAGGGGCCUCACUGAACUGGAGAGUCAAACACACAAGAACACGAUGGUAGAGUAGGAGCUGUGCAGCCACACUUCUGACAGAAAUCUCCUCAUUGGGCAUCAUUGGGAUGUUCUGGCCCAAAAUACAGAUAUCAAUUUAGACUGUGUUUCUAGAGUAACAGCUAGACAAAGCAAGAAUUGAAAGACAACAGAUGGUGCAUCAGGCUCCAUCCUCCCAUCUUUGGAGGAAUAUCGAACAGAGUAAGAGAGACUGUCUUCCCUUAUGAACCAGCUUUGUGAUCCCAGCCCAAGGUUUUUAUCCGAGCAUGAACCAUCUGGCUUUGCGUGGGGUGAAAGUGUGUCAGCUUCCCCGAAGAAUUUCAGCAUCAGGCAAGGGGCGCGGGCCGGGAGCCUCUGCUCGCUGGAGAGCUAGCCUCUGCCCUUUGAACUUCUCCACCUUCCCACCAGUUCCCCCAAAACGACUCCGCGAAAACAGGAGUCAGCCCCUGAAAAGCAUACCAGGCAUUUUUAAACCCAACCCUGACAUUUCCUCAGCAUUUCCAUGGCUAAGACUCUUCCCGCACGCAACCUUUCCCCCACCCCCCUUCAAUCAAAUAGGCACCCGCUCUCUCAUGCUACUGCAAAGAAGGAAGAAAAAAAAAGUUGGCAAUUUAAUUCAAACAAAAGAAGCUUGAAAUCUAUAAGCACAGCAACUCCGAGGCUUCUGGCAAAUAGAAUUCUAAUUAGUAUGCUGCUAUUUUUC